Molecule: non-coding RNA, 91 nt
Organism: Dioszegia hungarica
Lineage: Eukaryota; Fungi; Basidiomycota; Tremellomycetes; Tremellales; Bulleribasidiaceae
Source: the annotation of a RefSeq genome assembly
GUCCGCUUGGUGCAGUCGUAGCAUGCUCUCUUCCGAUUAAGGAGUAAUAAAUUACCGGGAGUGGUCCUGGGUUCAAUCCCCAGAGUGGAUU